GAGAUACCUAUCCAUACGGUGCA
RNAcentral lists this non-coding RNA (23 nucleotides) under Arabidopsis thaliana (thale cress). The record is from RNAcentral. Lineage: Eukaryota; Viridiplantae; Streptophyta; Magnoliopsida; Brassicales; Brassicaceae.